AUUGAACGCUGGCGGCAGGCCUAACACAUGCAAGUCGAGCGGAUGAAGGGAGCUUGCUCCUGGAUUCAGCGGCGGACGGGUGAGUAAUGCCUAGGAAUCUGCCUGGUAGUGGGGGAUAACGUCCGGAAACGGGCGCUAAUACCGCAUACGUCCUGAGGGAGAAAGUGGGGGAUCUUCGGACCUCGCGCUAUCAGAUGAGCCUAGGUCGGAUUAGCUAGUUGGUGGGGUAAAGGCCUACCAAGGCGACGAUCCGUAACUGGUCUGAGAGGAUGAUCAGUCACACUGGAACUGAGACACGGUCCAGACUCCUACGGGAGGCAGCAGUGGGGAAUAUUGGGCAAUGGGCGAAAGCCUGAUGCAGCCAAGCCGCGUGUGUGAAGAAGGUCUUCGGAUUGUAAAGCACUUUAAGUUGGGAGGAAGGGCAGUAAGGUAAUACCUUGCUGUUUUGACGUUACCAACAGAAUAAGCACCGGCUAACUUCGUG
This 484-nucleotide ribosomal RNA is filed under the name uncultured bacterium. RNAcentral describes it as "partial 16S ribosomal RNA". It matches the Rfam family "Bacterial small subunit ribosomal RNA", at positions 30 to 507 of the family's 1533-position model. The record is from RNAcentral.